Molecule: long non-coding RNA, 5235 nt
Filed under: Eucalyptus grandis
Lineage: Eukaryota; Viridiplantae; Streptophyta; Magnoliopsida; Myrtales; Myrtaceae
Description: long non-coding RNA (EGRA_LNC000569)
Source: RNAcentral
UAUAAAUAGUACUUCAUAUCACUCACUUUAUAGUCCAAGACAGUAGCACUACAGUCUACUCAGAGUCGAUUCAAUUGCGCACGUUGAGCUGAGUAUUGUUCUCCUAGUUGUCCCAAAACUUUUGGUCAUCGUUUGAAGAUCAUGGCCUCGACAAUCCUGAUGCACUCGGUCCCUGUGAGUCCUAGGACUGUGGUCGACAUUAGUUCCAGGAAAUCUGUUGUGAGAGGGCUCUUCCCUGCCAGCAAUAGUCCUAGACUGUCUCCUCGAGGUGGCUUGCAUGUGAGGUGUAUGGCUAAGGUAAAGUAGCAGAUUUUCGAAAAAUCUUGCCUAAAACAUCAACGAUGUGAUGUUGGGAAGUUUAUUGAAUUAACAUUGUUACGUGAUGAAUGUUUCAGGAGAGCAAGCCGGAUCUGAACCCAUCCAAAUCAAAGGUAUAUUUAUGCUUGUGGGCCUUCUAGCACAUGAAUAAGAGUUUUGGAAAGGCCUUACUUAUGCACGGAGCCUUUAUUUACUUAAAGAGAUUAAACAUUAGUAUUGAAGUUUCCAAAGGAUAAGUCUUGUCAAAGAAAUUGAACUGGUGAUACUCUGCUGAUUGAAUUUUGAUGAAGUAAGAUAGUCACUCAUUCUAAUAACUACUCCUUGCAUAUGCUAACGUUGAUCAUGUUGACAGGUUAGCACCGACUUCACAGAUGUGUUUGCAUUCAGUGGACCGGCACCAGAGAGGAUCAAUGGCAGACUCGCAAUGAUAGGCUUUGUGGCGGCCAUUGCGGUCGAACUGUCUAAAGGCCAGGACUUGUCUGCUCAGAUCAGUGGAGGUGGUAUCCCGUGGUUCAUAGGAACGAGCAUUCUGCUCUCAGUUGCAUCUCUUGUUCCGCUGCUUCAAGGAGUCACGGCCGAGUCAAAGUCUGACGGGUUGAUGACUUCUGAUGCUGAGUUGUGGAACGGAAGGUUUGCAAUGUUGGGACUAAUUGCGUUAGCCUUCACUGAAUAUGUUAAGGGAGGAAUACUUGUGUAGGGUUUUGGAAUUAUACACUCGUGUAAGUAGUUCAGAAUGUAAUCCUCAGAAGCAUAAUAUAAAGUGAAGCAUUGUCUCAAUACAAAUACUGUGCCCCAUGCCAUCUUGGUUUAAAUCUUAAAUUAGAGUUUGCUAUACUAUAAAUCAUUCUCUCAAAGGACAUUUCAUUGGAUCAUUCAACGUGGAGUAUACUUUGAAGAAAACUCCCUCCUUCAGAAAAAACCUCGAUUCGCUUGAAGUGGAAGUAGAGAAGCGUCGCUUGAUAUAUGAGAUGGUAAUUGCAGAUUAAUAAGACACAAGUACCUUUACCAAUGAGAUUUGGAUGAAACUCAGACGACAAUGGGUGAACAAAGAACAUACCUAAAUCAGAAAGAUCCCAGGCAUUUCAGAUGUAAAUAAACUAAAGCAACAAUAACAAAGAAGGAUUGAGUGAAUUCGGAUCGUCCUUUGAUGAGGAAGUUCCGAAUUCUCAAAGCAACAGAUUUUGCAAACAAAACUAAACCAAAGUUCGGUCUGCACCCUUCCAAGUAAAAUGGUGGAAAUCGACCAACUCAGCAACAAGACAUCUGGAGAAUGUUGAGUGCAAUCACUUAUUGGAAUACUAAUCACAGCUUCUUUCUGCCUUUCCUUUUUGACCGUCCAGAGGUCGAUGGUAUGAUUUCAUGGACCCAGAUUUAUUUCACUUCCAUCAGAUACGUAGCAAUCGAUCGAUUAAUUAACCCACAGCAAAAUAUAUCCUUCAGAUAAACCACUCAAAUCAUGAUGGAACUAUUACAACCAAUAGAUUUCUAUCCCAUAGCACAUCUAAAAACUGCAUUGUCCGACAAAACAACAUCGGAGAAGGAUCUGACCUAAGAGGACAACGUUUGCUUUUAAGAACUGCAAUCUGGGGCAGGCAAUGGCGGACAUAAAGCUUGGUGGUUUGCCUCCUUUUUACAGGCUUUGAACAUCUCCUCUUUCAAUUACAACUAGCCUCUUUACCUAAUCAUGUAAUCGAUUAUUUAAGUAAACAAAUGAUGUGGAUAAACAAAACCAAAAUGCAGUAACUGAUUCAUUACUUGUCGCAACAUUCCCCUAACGGUAGGGGUGUUCCAUCUCAUAAGAGUUCAGUUACCCUUGCGAAGCCGCGACCCCUCCUAUGCACACUGAAAAUGUAAUAGAUGGGCUUUAAAAAUAAAAAAAAUAAAAUAAAAGGAAAAGAAAGAGUUUGAAAAGUAAAAAAAAAAAGGAAGCUCAAGGAUAUUUGUGGAAUCUUCGGCUAUGCUUUAAAAAGAGGGAGAGAGAGAGAGAGAAAGAAGAGCACGGGCAGAAAGAAACGGGAGAGGAGAGAAAGGAGAGAAAGGAAAAGAAAAAAAAAAUUGGCGCACUUGUGAUCCGGACGCCUCAUCAAACCGACUCAAGUGUGUUUAGCAACGCUAGUAAGAAAUUGAAGUCUUUAAUCACCUACUUAAAGCAAUCGCUGCAAUUAGGGCUCGAAAUUCGGAUUUCUUGGAUAUUUGUGUGGCGAAGCCCCAUUUUUGAGUCGUCGAGAUGGUACUUUGGAUGUUGUGAAGCUAUAGCAUCUUUCGGAUCGUAAUUUGAGCUUGUGGUUUGUCCGAAACGGAAUUUUGAAGUUGAUGGCGCAUUCUGGUAUUGUAGGGAACAGUAGCUUUGAGCCUUUUUUUUUGUUAUUUUUGGUACUGUUUUGGGUCCUCUGAGUUGGGGUUGUUGUUGUACAUUAAGAGAGCUUUCGAAAGACUAUAAGACGAUUUGAAAUGGAAUUUUGUGGAGGGAGUUAUGGCGUGAUGAAGUUGGUGCAUGGGCUGCACCUAGCGGGAAAUGAUGGGUUUUCGAUAAAUGAGAGCUUUUGUGGCGCAUAGGUGUCGUUUUAUCGACAAAUAGGCCUAGUAUAGACAAGUCGUUAUGCGAAUAUCCUUUUUACUCGGCCUUUUGAUAUUGUUUUUCCAUUAAUUGUUAGGAAUCCGAAUGUGUUGGUUCGAGUGAGCAUCGUAGUUGAUUUUUGGUUUUUCCCAAGUGAGUGACACUAUUUCUUCUUUGUAUUUUAAACUCAUGUUUUGAGAAACGUGAUGGAUUAUAUAUUCCAUGAGUUGAUAAAAAACAUAUUUUGUUGCAUAAAAUAAGAUCGAGCUAUUACUACUAUUUUUGUUGUUCGAAGGGAGUUAUAUUCCGACUUCGAUUUGAAUGGUUGUUUGAAAGAUGAUUUUUGAAAUUCUUUGUGAGAGAAUCUUGAAAUGUUUUGGUGAAUGCUUUGAUAUUUAUAUAUCAAAUUUUGAGUUGUGAUGUAACUUCAUUUCUAACAUUGGAUUACUGGAUAUUGUAAUUGGUGGUUGGUGCUCAAUGUCUAUGUGGACCCUGAGGGGUGUGGGUAUGCGCAUACUAUUCUAGGAUAUCCUUGUGGGCCGAGCCACCGGCUAAUAAUAGGUGGAGACCUUGCCAAUAGGGGAAUGUUGGUCGUCUUGUCACGGGCGUUACGCGUGACCAUGGUUAGACAUUUGAGCAUGAAUUGGUCAAUGGGGUGGACCAUUGACGUGUGAUUUGAGUUUGGUCGAUGGAAUGGACCAUCGAUGUGAUUUGAUGAGAUUAAUUAAUGGAAUAGACCAUUGAUGCAUGUUUUAUGAGAUUGACUAAUGGAUUGGACUAUUGGUAUCUUCAGUAUUUGAGUUAUGAUUAUAUAUUUGAGCUAUGUUUUAAAUGUGCAUAGUGAUUUCUCGAUCCGCUUAGAAGAAAUGUGUUACUCCGUGGUAGCUCACUCCUCUCUUAUACUUGUUUUUCAAGUUUUUCAGCAAGUUGCGAGUAAGCGUGAACGUUCGCUCGGGGAGGACUUUUGUGGUGGAAACUUUUUUGUAUGACUUGUGCAUAGUUAAUAUAAGUUAGUCUUUGUAGAAGAUUUUUGUUUUGAUUUUUUUGUAGAUUAUAGAUAUACUAUGAUAUUAUAACCAAGUGCCCCUUUUUUGUCAAAUAUAUAUAUGUGUGUGUGUGUGUGUGUGUGUGUGUGUGUGUGUGUGGAUGUAUAUAUGUUGAUAUCGGGUUAAAUUUUGGUUACAUUGAGGCUGUCUUUGGUAAAAGGAUGGCCGUGUCAUGCCCCUUCUUCUUGUGAAUCGGGGUGUGACAUAAGAGGUCUUCGGGAAUGCUCCUAACCAGUGUUAUGUACAAGUUGGGACUCCAUGGGAUCGGCAGGCAAGCCUUGUAAGUUUUGAAGGCAUUCAUGCUUCCCCCUUUCUCAGCGACACUAGAAGCGAGGACAUCAGAACUAGCUUUUUCCAUGACAAACUGCAGACAGCGAUGGAUGGACAACUACAAUAAGCACACGCAAUGUGAAAAAUUGGUUUAACUAAAUCAGUUGCAAUUGGUAAGAUAGGUGGGAGAACUCAAGAAGCCGGUGGAGGGAGGGAAUAUGAAGUACAUUGGUUUGUCAGAAGCUAGCAUUGAUACGGUAAAGAGAGUUAAUGCUAUUCAUCCAAACCCAGCUGUGCAGAUGGAGUAUUCUCUGUGGACUUGCGGAAUUGAGGAUGAAUUAAUUCCACUUUGCAGCUCCACUCCUAUUAUCUUCAAGAUGUGUGGCAAUUUUUACAGGACUUUCAAUUUCGGAGAACUGUGAAGAGAGUGCCGUGUUGCGCUUGAGCUGUGAAGUCGGGGCAUGUCGUCUUCAUCGAAUCGCACCAAAGGACGUCGGUACUUGAAAGUUCUCUGUCCGGUCCAAUUUGUUCUUUACCAAACUCGAAAACCUCGAACUACGUCGCUCUUCUCUUGGCCUUACGUUCGGAAGCCAACAAGAACUGAAGUUCACAAACCAUUUUGUCCGUUGUUUUGUUCAGGGCUAUUUGAAGGCCCACGUCGUCACUUUCCCAUUAAACGGACGAGGUGAAACCAUUUAACCCCCUACGGACGUGCAUCGCGUGGAACCAACACCAUCCUUCAGUCUCUCCCUCCCUCUCUCUCUCUCUCCUCCCCGGCACUAUAUAAAUAGUACUUCGUAUCACUCACUCUAUAGUCCAAGACAGUAGCACUGCAGUCUACUCAGAAUCGAUUCUGUUCGCACGUUGAGCUGAGAAUUGUUCUCCUAGUUGUCCCAAAACUUUUGGUCAUCGUUUGAAGAUCAUGGCCUCGACAAUCCUGAUGCACUCGGUCCCUGUGAGUCCUAGGACCGUGGUCGACAUUAGUUCCAGGAAAUCUGUUGUGAGAGGGCUCUUCCCUGCCAGCAAUAGUCCUAGAUUGUCUCC